This 381-nucleotide ribosomal RNA is filed under the name uncultured bacterium. Its description in RNAcentral is "bacterial SSU rRNA". It matches the Rfam family "Bacterial small subunit ribosomal RNA", at positions 790 to 1167 of the family's 1533-position model. The record is from RNAcentral.
GUAGUCCACGCCCUAAACGAUGGAUGCUAGGCGUAAGGGGUAUCGACCCCCCUUGUGCCGCAGCUAACGCACUAAGCAUCCCGCCUGGGGACUACGGCCGCAAGGUUGAAACUCAAAUGAAUUGACGGGGACCCGCACAAGCGGUGGAGCAUGUGGAUUAAUUCGAUACUAACCGAAGAACCUUACCCAGGUUUGACAUCGAGGGAAAGCCUCUGAAAGGAGGCCCUCGCCCACAAGGCGACCCGAAGACAGAUGUUGCAUGGCUGUCGUCAGCUCGUGCCGUGAGGUGUACGGUUAAGUCCGCCAACGAGCGCAACCCUCGUCGUGUGUUACCAGCGAGUAAAGUCGGGGACUCACACGAGACCGCCGGUGUAAGCCGGA